Molecule: ribosomal RNA, 253 nt
Filed under: uncultured microorganism
Description: partial 16S ribosomal RNA
Rfam family: Bacterial small subunit ribosomal RNA
Source: RNAcentral
UACGGAGGGUGCAAGCGUUAAUCGGAAUUACUGGGCGUAAAGCGUACGUAGGCGGCUUGUUAAGCAAGAUGUGAAAUCCCCGGGCUCAACCUGGGAAUGGCAUUUUGAACUGGCAGGCUCGAGUUCUGAAGAGGGUGGUAGAAUUUCCAGUGUAGCGGUGAAAUGCGUAGAUAUUGGAAGGAAUACCGGUGGCGAAGGCGGCCACCUGGUCAGAAACUGACGCUGAGGCACGAAAGCUAGGGGAGCAAACAGG